Molecule: ribosomal RNA, 253 nt
Filed under: uncultured bacterium
Lineage: Bacteria
Description: partial 16S ribosomal RNA
Rfam family: Bacterial small subunit ribosomal RNA
Source: RNAcentral
GACAGAGGUGCCGAGCGUUAGGCGGAAUCACUGGGCUUAAAGCGUGUGUAGGCGGACCCGUAAGUACCUUGUGAAAUCCCACGGCUCAACCGUGGAACGGCUGGGUAUACUGCGGGUCUUGAGCGGCCUAGGGGCAGACGGAACAAGUGGUGGAGCGGCGAAAUGCGUAGAUAUCACUUGGAACGCCGACGGUGAAAACAGUCUGCUGGGGGCCUGCUGACGCUGAGACACGAAAGCCAGGGGAGCGAACGGG